RNAcentral lists this long non-coding RNA (1152 nucleotides) under Bos indicus x Bos taurus (hybrid cattle). RNAcentral's name for it is "lncRNA (ENSBIXG00005028674.1)". Lineage: Eukaryota; Metazoa; Chordata; Mammalia; Artiodactyla; Bovidae. The record is from RNAcentral.
AGACUAAACUUACUGAGGUUCCUCUAUGUUCUAUUUGCUUUUGUAGUUAUCAAGUGGCUCCAGCCAGAACAAUAGAAGACGCCAUGGAGUGAUGCUUUUGGGGAACUCAAAAAUGAAGCGUUGCGGAACUCAUCCUCCAAAACGAAAGAGGAUGUUCAAGAUGAGGGCUGUUUGCUUCUCAUCUAUGUUACUGAUAGCCACUCUGCAAAGAAGUAUCGUGAACCAGAGUGACUCUGAAACUCCAAUGUAAAGGUCAUCAGAUUCUUUUGGGCUGUUCUGCUCAGAACUGAGGCAAGAAUUAGCAAGGAAAAGCUUCUCUGAUCCACGCCAGUCAAGUACAGAUGUGAGAGUUGGACCAUAAAGAAGGCUGAGUGUCGAAGAAUUGAUGUUUUCAAACUGUGGUACUGGAGAAAACUCUUGAGAGUCCAUUGGACAACAAGGAGAUCAAACCAGUCAAUCCUAAAGAAAAUCAACCCUAAAUAUUCUUUGGAAGCACUGUUGCUGAAGCUCGAAUACUUUGGGCGCCUGAUGUGAAGAGCUGACUCACUGGAAAAGAUCCUGAUGUUGGAAAAGAUUGAGAGCUUGAGGAGAAGGGGAUGACGGAGGAUGAGUGGAUGGCAUCAUCAACUCAAUGGACAUGAGUUUGAGCAAACUUUGGGAGAUACCAAAGGACAGGAAUGCCUGGUGUGCUUCAGUCCAUGGGGCUGCAAAGACAGGACUGAGCAACUGAACAACAAUCUUCUCUGACUCUCUUUUUGUGCAUCAAAGAAAUGUCUAUGAGAAUCAUUCAUCCAGAUACAUACAUAUUCCUUCAGCCCUACUCUACCUUACAUACUUUCAGUGAUAGAAAACUCAUGACCAUUUAAUUUUUAGAUAGGUCUGGUUGUUAAACAAUCCUUUCCUCUUUUGAAAAUGUAAAUUUUAUUUCUACUUAGCAUAUUUCCUGCAUACUGGAGCUCAUGUUGCUUUUCUUAACAGGCAGGAUAAAGCUAGUCCUUCCCAACUGUGUGUUGAGUAUUUGAAUUUAAUGCCUGCAUCUCCUUCUCUUCUUCGUGAGAAGCACCAGCAGAUUCCUUUAUUAUUUCUCAUAAGUUCUAAAGACUCUGACUACCCUGGAUAACCCCACACCAUCCACUGAACCCCUUAAGAGUC